RNAcentral lists this ribosomal RNA (152 nucleotides) under uncultured bacterium. RNAcentral describes it as "partial 16S ribosomal RNA". It matches the Rfam family "Bacterial small subunit ribosomal RNA", at positions 625 to 776 of the family's 1533-position model. The record is from RNAcentral.
AUUGGAAACUGGGAGACUUGAGUGCAGAGGAGGAGAUGGGAACUCCAUGUGUAGCGGUGAAAUGCGUAGAUAUAUGGAAGAACACCAGUGGCGAAAGCGGCGCUCUGGUCUGUAACGGACGCUGAGGUUCGAAAGCGUGGGUAGCAAACAGG